UGGGAGGGACCAAGACUGCCCUCAGUGCCUUCCGCCGGGGGGUUAGCGCCUCGAGGGGCCACCCCUGCCGCUCUCAGGGUCUGUGGCUUAAAGAGGUUGGCUCCUUAUCCGACCCGUCCUGAAACACGGACCAAGGAGUUUGACAUGUGUGCGAGCCAUGGGGCUAUACGAAACCUAACGGCGAAAUGAAAGUGCAGGGCCCUCCGGCCCUAGUUUUGAUCCCGCUCCCGCGGGGGCAAGGCCGGCCCGUCUGGUAGGCCCUCUUUUGAGGAGGAACAAGAUAACCAGAGUUGGGACCCCAAAGAUGGUGAACUCCGCCUCCUUCCCAAA
RNAcentral lists this ribosomal RNA (330 nucleotides) under Mediomastus sp. Its description in RNAcentral is "partial large subunit ribosomal RNA". It matches the Rfam family "Eukaryotic large subunit ribosomal RNA", at positions 591 to 850 of the family's 3401-position model. The record is from RNAcentral. Lineage: Eukaryota; Metazoa; Annelida; Polychaeta; Capitellidae.